RNAcentral lists this transfer RNA (73 nucleotides) under Kwoniella mangroviensis CBS 8507. RNAcentral's name for it is "tRNA-Thr (TGT) (tRNA-Thr-TGT-1-1)". It matches the Rfam family "tRNA". From Rfam's summary of the family: Transfer RNA (tRNA) molecules are approximately 80 nucleotides in length. Their secondary structure includes four short double-helical elements and three loops (D, anti-codon, and T loops). Further hydrogen bonds mediate the characteristic L-shaped molecular structure. tRNAs have two regions of fundamental functional importance: the anti-codon, which is responsible for specific mRNA codon recognition, and the 3' end, to which the tRNAs corresponding amino acid is attached (by aminoacyl-tRNA synthetases). tRNAs cope with the degeneracy of the genetic code in two manners: having more than one tRNA (with a specific anti-codon) for a particular amino acid; and 'wobble' base-pairing, i.e. permitting non-standard base-pairing at the 3rd anti-codon position. RNAcentral also lists the same sequence under 1 other name. The record is from RNAcentral. Lineage: Eukaryota; Fungi; Basidiomycota; Tremellomycetes; Tremellales; Cryptococcaceae.
GCUCUUGUAGUUUAGUGGUUAUAAUUUUGCACUUGUAAUGCAAGGGUCUUGAGUUCAAAUCUCAACGGGAGCA